This 759-nucleotide ribosomal RNA is filed under the name soil fungal sp. DM2-446. RNAcentral's name for it is "eukaryotic LSU rRNA". It matches the Rfam family "Eukaryotic large subunit ribosomal RNA", at positions 141 to 918 of the family's 3401-position model. The record is from RNAcentral. Lineage: Eukaryota; Fungi.
AGUUGUAAUUUGCAGAGGGCGCUUUGGCAUUGGCAGCGGUCCAAGUUCCUUGGAACAGGACGUCACAGAGGGUGAGAAUCCCGUACGUGGUCGCUAGCCUUUACCGUGUAAAGCCCCUUCGACGAGUCGAGUUGUUUGGGAAUGCAGCUCUAAAUGGGAGGUAAAUUUCUUCUAAAGCUAAAUACUGGCCAGAGACCGAUAGCGCACAAGUAGAGUGAUCGAAAGAUGAAAAGCACUUUGGAAAGAGAGUUAAAAAGCACGUGAAAUUGUUGAAAGGGAAGCGCUUGCAGCCAGACUUGCCUGUAGUUGCUCAUCCGGGUUUUUACCCGGUGCACUCUUCUAUAGGCAGGCCAGCAUCAGUUUGGGCGGUUGGAUAAAGGUCUCUGUCAUGUACCUCUCUUCGGGGAGAACUUAUAGGGGAGACGACAUGCAACCAGCCUGGACUGAGGUCCGCGCAUCUGCUAGGAUGCUGGCGUAAUGGCUGUAAGCGGCCCGUCUUGAAACACGGACCAAGGAGUCUAACAUCUAUGCGAGUGUUUGGGUGUCAAGCCCGAGCGCGUAAUGAAAGUGAACGGAGGUGGGAACCUUUCGGGGUGCACCAUCGACCGAUCCUGAUGUCUUCGGAUGGAUUUGAGUAAGAGCAUAGCUGUUGGGACCCGAAAGAUGGUGAACUAUGCUUGAAUAGGGUGAAGCCAGAGGAAACUCUGGUGGAGGCUCGCAGCGGUUCUGACGUGCAAAUCGAUCGUCAAAUUUGGGCAU